AAGAGUCCUAAGUUCCUCUUCCUGUGGUAACAACUACUUAUGUGGUUUUCAUUAUGAUGUCACUAGAUGAAAUACAAAGCUUUACUAAACUCAAGGUGACUAUAUUCAGCAUUAAACUUCACACCACAAACCCUGCAAUUUCCUUUUCCACACAAAGGCAAUUUUGACUUAAGAAGUAACGACUACUUCUCGCUUUCUUCUUAGCAUGGAAGCUGGCUUAAAGUGGCAGCCAGUUUCUGGAUACGACCUUUAUCCAUCACCUGUGUCAGUAUGGACUGGGACUUCAAAGAGGAGUCAGCAGAUUCUCUCUCCUUCAUUUUGGGAGUUUUGGGUUUUA
Long non-coding RNA from Pseudopipra pipra, 337 nucleotides. RefSeq lists it as uncharacterized. The transcript is spliced from 2 exons. NCBI's taxonomy places the organism in Eukaryota, Metazoa, Chordata, Aves, Passeriformes, Pipridae. The record is from RefSeq and is a predicted model, not a curated record.